Molecule: ribosomal RNA, 207 nt
Filed under: uncultured bacterium
Lineage: Bacteria
Description: partial 16S ribosomal RNA
Rfam family: Bacterial small subunit ribosomal RNA
Source: RNAcentral
CGCGUAGGCGGUUUGAUAAGUGGGAUGUGAAAGCCCCGGGCUUAACCUGGGAACUGCAUUCCAAACUGUCAGACUAGAGUAUGGUAGAGGGUGGUAGAAUUUCCUGUGUAGCGGUGAAAUGCGUAGAUAUAGGAAGGAAUACCGAUGGCGAAGGCAGCCACCUGGACCAAUACUGACGCUGAGGUGCGAAAGCGUGGGGAGCAAACA